Molecule: ribosomal RNA, 655 nt
Filed under: Macrophomina phaseolina
Lineage: Eukaryota; Fungi; Ascomycota; Dothideomycetes; Botryosphaeriales; Botryosphaeriaceae
Description: eukaryotic LSU rRNA
Rfam family: 5.8S ribosomal RNA (bases 266-420)
Source: RNAcentral
GGGGGGGGGCCGCCCCCACAACAGGGGUUCCAAGGGGGGUGGGGNCCAAUCAAUCGUAUAGGUAACCUCCGAAGGAUCAUACCCGAGUUGAUUCGGGGUCCGUCCCGAUCCUCCCACCCUUUGUAUACCCUACCUCUGUUGCCUUGGCGGGCCGCGCUCUUACGCGGCCGCCCCCCGAUUUUGGGGGGUGGCUAGUGCCCGCCAGAGGACUAUCAAACUCCAGUCAGUAAACGUUGCAGUCUGAAAAAAAUAUUAAAUAAACUAAAACUUUCAACAACGGAUCUCUUGGUUCUGGCAUCGAUGAAGAACGCAGCGAAAAUGCGAUAAGUAAUGUGAAUUGCAGAAUUCAGUGAAUCAUCGAAUCUUUGAACGCACAUUGCGCCCCUUGGUAUUCCGGGGGGCAUGCCUGUUCGAGCGUCAUUUCAACCCUCAAACUCUGCUUGGUAUUGGGCACCGUCCUUUGCGGGCGCGCCUCAAAGACCUCGGCGGUGGCGUCUUGCCUCAAGCGUAGUAGAAUACACCUCGCAUCGGAGCGUAAGGCGUCGCCCGCCGGACGAACCUUCUGAACUUUUCUCAAGGCUGACCUCGGAUCAGGUAGGGAUACCCGCUGAACUUAGCAUAUCNAUAGCGGAGGAACCUNCGGAUCCCCNUCCCG